CCUACGGGUGGCAGCAGUGGGGAAUAUUGCACAAUGGGGGAAACCCUGAUGCAGCGACGCCGCGUGGGUGACGAAGUAUUUCGGUAUGUAAAGCCCUAUCAGCAGGGAAGAAGAUGACAGUACCUGACCAAGAAGCCCCGGCUAACUACGUGCCAGCAGCCGCGGUAAUACGUAGGGGGCAAGCGUUAUCCGGAUUUACUGGGUGUAAAGGGAGCGUAGGUGGCAUGGCAAGCCAGAAGUGAAAACCCGGGGCUUAACCCCGCGGAUUGCUUUUGGAACUGUCAGGCUGGAGUGCAGGAGGGGCAGGCGGAAUUCCUGGUGUAGCGGUGAAAUGCGUAGAUAUAUGGAAGAACACCAGUGGCGAAAGCGGCUCUCUGGUCUGUAACUGACGCUGAGGUUCGAAAGCGUGGGUAGCAAACAGGAUUAGAUACCCCUGUAGUC
This 441-nucleotide ribosomal RNA is filed under the name uncultured bacterium. RNAcentral describes it as "partial 16S ribosomal RNA". It matches the Rfam family "Bacterial small subunit ribosomal RNA", at positions 338 to 795 of the family's 1533-position model. The record is from RNAcentral.